RNAcentral lists this ribosomal RNA (468 nucleotides) under uncultured bacterium. RNAcentral describes it as "partial 16S ribosomal RNA". It matches the Rfam family "Bacterial small subunit ribosomal RNA", at positions 28 to 507 of the family's 1533-position model. The record is from RNAcentral.
GACGAACGCUGGCGGCGUGCUUAACACAUGCAAGUCGAACGGACAGGCCCUGCUUUUGUGGGUUGCUCGAGUGGCGAACGGGUGAGUAACACGUGAGUAACCUGCCCUUGACUUUGGGAUAACUUCAGGAAACUGGGGCUAAUACCGGAUAGGAGCUCCUGCUGCAUGGUGGGGGUUGGAAAGUUUCGGCGGUUGGGGAUGGACUCGCGGCUUAUCAGCUUGUUGGUGGGGUAGUGGCUUACCAAGGCUUUGACGGGUAGCCGGCCUGAGAGGGUGACCGGCCACAUUGGGACUGAGAGACGGCCCAGACUCCUACGGGAGGCAGCAGUGGGGAAUAUUGCACAAUGGGCGGAAGCCUGAUGCAGCAACGCCGCGUGCGGGAUGACGGCCUUCGGGUGGUAAACCGAUUUCGCAGGUGACGAAGCGUGAGUGACGGUAAUGGGUAAAGAAGCACCGGCUAACUACGUG